This 460-nucleotide ribosomal RNA is filed under the name uncultured bacterium. RNAcentral describes it as "partial 16S ribosomal RNA". It matches the Rfam family "Bacterial small subunit ribosomal RNA", at positions 338 to 795 of the family's 1533-position model. The record is from RNAcentral.
CCUACGGGUGGCAGCAGUGAGGAAUAUUGGUCAAUGGGCGGGAGCCUGAACCAGCCAAGUCGCGUGAGGGACGACGGUCCUAUGGAUUGUAAACCUCUUUUGUCGGGGAACAAAGGCGCCCACGGGUGGGCGGAUGAGUGUACCCGAAGAAAAAGCAUCGGCUAACUCCGUGCCAGCAGCCGCGGUAAUACGGAGGAUGCGAGCGUUAUCCGGAUUUAUUGGGUUUAAAGGGUGCGUAGGCGGUUUGAUAAGUUAGAGGUGAAAUGUCGGGGCUCAACCCCGAAACUGCCUCUAAUACUGUUGGACUAGAGAAUAGUUGCGGUAGGCGGAAUGUAUGGUGUAGCGGUGAAAUGCUUAGAGAUCAUACAGAACACCGAUUGCGAAGGCAGCUUACCAAACUAUAUCUGACGUUGAGGCACGAAAGCGUGGGUAGCAAACAGGAUUAGAUACCCCAGUAGUC